ACGGUCUGGGGAAAGGUUCCUGUGUGGUCGCACCUGCCCUCGGUCGGUGCAGCCUCGUACCAGGCAGCCCCACCUUGACCUAAAGUAAAUUCCUGGGAGAAGUGUCUUCUGGGGUUGAAAUUUGCAGUAACAGGUGUGAACAUUCUAGCAGCAGUUUGAUGAUCAUGUAUGAUACUGCAAACAGGA
Jaculus jaculus (lesser Egyptian jerboa) is the source of this 186-nucleotide non-coding RNA. Lineage: Eukaryota; Metazoa; Chordata; Mammalia; Rodentia; Dipodidae. The record is from Ensembl.